UUGGUGUGGCCCAUUGGAGGCCAAGGGAUUAUACAUGGCCAAAACCAAGUCUUGGAGAUAUUUGUGGAAAAAUCAAGCUCAAGGGGCCCUCCAUCCUUUUUCAUCUCUAUCUCCUUGCACUCUCUCACCCACCGUCCACCUCCAUCCUCUCUCUCCCUUCUCAUUUCUUCGUGCGACUCCUUCGUGAAUAGCUGAUGUUGAAGACCGGCAGCUCCUUCCUUUGCAAAUUGAAGUCCACGUUCCUCUUCUUCACCGAUUCUGCCAGCCACACGCCAGCCCCACUACCGUUGGUCUCCUUCGGUCAAAACUCCUCUCGCUGGCCUUGGUAGUUGACUGGCGGCAUCCACGAAGCCUUGAAGACCGAAACUCCACCGAGCGAAGCCUCCACCGAAGCAAGGAAAUCUACAGAAGCAAGAGCGGCCGCACGUCUCCACCAUCGAAGACCUUCGCUUCAGCCAGCGCCUCCACGCGUCCUCAACCAGAGCUCUUUCAGUCAACCGCAGCAAGCCCACCGAAAGUCAGUGGUUGACCUAGCAGCUUUGUUCAGCUGCCACUUGGCCGUGAGGCCUUCCGUCGAUGCCUCCCUCACACGCCCACCGAGCUGAGCUCCUCUCUGCUGGGCCGAAGUUGUCUCAACCGAAGUCACCAAUUCCCCAGCAGCAACUCCACGUCGACGCUGCAGCCCCACUUCGGCUUGUCUUCAACGGAGUCAACGGAACCAGCAGCUUCUUCUCUUUUGUUGACUGAAGCUGCCAGCGGAUGCCCCUUCUCCACUGAGGUUGGUCGGCCACAGAAGCCAGCAAGCUGUCCGAGAAUUUUCUUCAUCGUCAACCGAAACCUCGAAGCAUCUCCACGCCUCACCGAACCGCACGUCAUCAGCUCCUUGGACCACCGAAGCUGCAAGUCCAGCCCAGCGAAUUCCAAGCCCAGUCGUCCGUGUAUCUUCAGCCCAUCUGCAGAGGCAUUUCUAGCCCAGCAUAAAUUGGAUUAGAAGCCCAGUAAUUUCAGUCUUUUGGGCCCAGCAAAGACAGGCCCAAUUCAGUUUUAUUUCAAGCCCAUUUUCAGCAAUUGUAAUCUUCAAGCCCAGUUUUUGAAGCCCAAUCGCAGCUAGGCCCAAGUCCAAGAGCAAGCCCAUUCCAGUGCAAGAACAAAUCUCAAUUGGGCUGAGAUUUGUUGGGCCUAAUUCAAGGCCCGGUCCAAGUCCGUGGGAGUCGUUGCGAGCCCGUUUUCGGCCGCCGUCGCGUCGCCGUCGUGGUGAUUCGAUUCCCGCUUUUGAUCAAGUGAGUUUUACUCACUAAUGCUUUAUUAGUUUGCUAAUUAUGCCUUAUGGUUGGUUAGAUUUAAUUACAUGCACUUAGGUGGUUAGAUUAGGUUAGAACAAUUAAUUUAGUGACUUAAUGAUGCAUGUUAGGUGGCUAGACCUAGUUAUUAGCAAGUAGAAAGGUUCGGUUAUUUAUUGAAUGUAUCUCGGGAUUUUUCCCGACCCGUUUCGGGCUCCAAUAAGGCAAUAUGGGCCUAAAUUGGAUUUUCAAUGUUUAUUUAUUUAUUUUCGAAAUUUAUUUAAUUAAUUAUUUUUCCGGAAAUUCAACUGGGAUGGCCAGUGACUGGAAUUUCGUGCUGAUUGUCGUGGUGCAGCUCGUUUAUUCAUUUGAGCUCUACGUUGUGUGGAAUUGAAUUAAUUGUGAAAUUUGAGGAUUUAUCCUUAAAUGUUUGUUAUUGAAUAUUUGAUUGGUAAUGGCCAAGCAUGAGUAUAUAGCGCCAGUACUUUGAUGGGCUAUAUAGUAGGGAGAAUGGUGAGACCAAUCAGGUAUGAUGUUAUUGGACAUACGUGGUUCGGUGAUUGGAAGUAUCACUGGCGAAAACGGCGCCUUAAAGAACGCACGUAAAUGACUUAUAGACAAACGUGGUUCGGUGGUUAUGGGAAUAUCACUGGUGAAAACGGCGCCUUAAAGAACGCACGAUGUUGUCUAUAGCCGAUGUCACCUUGGCGAAAACGGCGCCCUUGAAAGGACACGUGGUUCGGUGAUCAAGGUUAUCACUGGUGAAAACGGCGCCUUAAAGAACGCACGGUGUCGGUGAUCGGUAUGUCAUUGGCGAAAACGACGCCCGAGAAACACAUGUGAUUUGGUGAAUGAGUACACCACUGGGAAAUCGUGGUAUGAGUGGGAAUGACCUAGAAAGGGUCUGACUGACAUGUAAUCGACUGAGUCGAUUGAUCAAUGCUUGAUCGGAUGUCGUGAAUUGUUUGAAUAUCUGUGUUUAACCUUGAAUUGCAGGUUGGAACUGAGGCCAAGGUAAGUCCUUUGACUCGUGUUGUGCUUAGGCAACCGUAUGGUGUAUUAGUUUACUAAUCGAGUCGUAGGGGGUAGGACUCGCUGAGACGUGGUCUCAUUGGUUAUUGAAUAACCAUUUCAGGACCCUGAGGAGAAUCUAAGGAAGAGGAACCUGAAGAGGAGAAAGUAUUUUGAAGAAGAAGAAGAUCCAGAGAGGGAUCUUGAAUAUAACCCGGAUG
This 2512-nucleotide long non-coding RNA is filed under the name Eucalyptus grandis. RNAcentral's name for it is "long non-coding RNA (EGRA_LNC000736)". Lineage: Eukaryota; Viridiplantae; Streptophyta; Magnoliopsida; Myrtales; Myrtaceae. The record is from RNAcentral.